RNAcentral lists this long non-coding RNA (629 nucleotides) under Elaeis guineensis (African oil palm). RNAcentral describes it as "long non-coding RNA (EGUI_LNC064707)". Lineage: Eukaryota; Viridiplantae; Streptophyta; Magnoliopsida; Arecales; Arecaceae. The record is from RNAcentral.
CAUCUCCUGGAGCCUUUGAUCCAAGAGGUCCUCUCGACUGCGAGUCUUGAGGGUCUUCUGGCAGAAUGGAGGUAGGGAUCCUUCGGGGGUGGAAUCGUGAUCAGACUGAGGGCUCUCCACCCUCGGCUUCCCCUUUCCAGGGAAGACAGGGCGAUUGGCCUAAGUGGCCCACCCUAUUGUCGGAUUUUGGAACUCCGGUGACAUUCUUUCCAGUCGUACUGACACUUGCGGCUGUUGCUACUGCUAUCGCAUGGCCUGCACUACUUCGGUGAGACCUCCGACCUACUGAACUAGCAAGUCAAACUGCUCCAUGCCGACUGCCGUUGCCGGAGGAGGAGGAAGAGCCUGAAAAACUGAAGACGAGGCCAGAGCUUGUGGAGCUUGCUAAGAUCUGGCUGCAGAGGCCGUGGAUCGCCUGGUGGAUGCCUUUUGGGGAGGCAUCAGGUGGAGAUUUAGAAGGAGAAGGAGAAGAGGAUGUCAGAGAAGAUGACCGGAGAUAGUUCCGUUGAGCACUCUUUUAAGAACAAGGGUACUACAAAGACACAAUGGCCCUUCCUUUAGCAUCAAUUCUGUUGGUGUAGAAUUCCGUCGAAGCCGGAGAAGCUGGAGUUGAGAUAACCGCAGCCGCC